This 1405-nucleotide long non-coding RNA is filed under the name Homo sapiens (human). RNAcentral's name for it is "EP300 antisense RNA 1 (EP300-AS1)". Lineage: Eukaryota; Metazoa; Chordata; Mammalia; Primates; Hominidae. The record is from RNAcentral.
CCAGCGCGUGCCCGCCCGGCGCCCUCUAGGGUGGAAGGCUGCGGGCGUCCUACCAGUGCCAGGACUGCCAGAGCGGGAGGAGCGCGGCGCGGGCCAGCCGGGACUGCUGGACAGCGGGGUCCAGGCUAGAGGCGAGCGAGCGGUCAGUGACGGCUGUGGAGGAGGGAGGCGCUGGGCGUCAGCGCGGGACCCGAGCCUCUGGACCACUGAGCUGGGGGGCUGGCUGAGGUCCACCUCCUAACAAAUUAUUGGAAGGAAUAUGAGAAAAAUGGAGUUUCACUCUUGUCACCCAGGCUGGAGUGCAAUAGAGCGAUCAUGGCUCACUGCAACCUCUGCCCCCCGGGUUCAAGCGAUUCUCCUGCCUCAGCCUCUCAAGUAGCUGGGAUUACAAGUGCCCACCACCACGCCCAGCUAAUUUUUGUAUUUUUAGUAAAGAUGGGGUUUCACCACAUUGGCCAGGCUGGUCUCUAACUCCUGACCUCACGUGAUUCAUCCAUCUCAGCCUCCCAAAGUGCUGGGAUUACAGGCAUGAGCCACUGUGCCUGGCCUAUACUUAUAUUUUCUUCUGUGAUUUUAAUAUUUUAGUGUUUAUGUUUUGGUCUAUGAUCCAUUUUGAGUAAAUUUUUAUAUUUGGUAUAAGGUAGGGGUCCAACUUUAUUUAUUUUUGAGAUGGAGGCUUACUCUAUUGCCCAGGCAGGCAUGCAAUGGUGCGAUCCAGCUCACUGCAACCUCUGUGUCCCAGGCUCAAGUGAUUCUCCCACCUCAGCCAUCUGAGUAGCUCGGAUUACAGGCCCCAUCACUAUGGUAAUUUUUAAAUUUUUAGUAGAGACGGGGUUUCACCAUGUUGGCCAGGCUGGUCUCGAACUCAUGACCUCAAGUGAUCUGCCCGCCUCUGCCCUACAAAGUGCUGGGAUUACAGGCGUGAGCCACCGUGCCUGGCCUCCAGCUUUAUUCUUUUUUUUUUUUUUUUUUUGAGACAGAGUCUUGUUCUGUCACCCAGGCUGGAGUGCUGGAGUGCAGUGGCGCGAUCUCGGCUCACUGCAAGCUCCGCCUCCUGGGUUCACGCCAUUCUCCUGCCUCAGCCUCCCGAGUAGCUGGGACUACAGGCGCCUGCCACCACGCCUGGCUAAUUUUUUGUAUUUUUAGUAGAGAUGGGGUUUCUCCAUGUUAGCCAGGAUGGUCUCGAUCUCCUGACCUCGUGGUCUGCCUGCCUCGGCCUCCCAAAAGUGCUGGGAUUACAGGCGUGAGCGACCAUGCCCGGCCAACUUUAUUCUUUUAGAUGUGGAUGUCUAGUUGUUCCAGAAGUAUCUGUUAAAAAUGUUACUCUUUCUCCAUUGGAUUAUUUUGGCAACCUUAUAAACAAUCAAUUGACCAUAAAAAAAAAAAAAAAAAAAAAAAAAAAAAA